This 477-nucleotide ribosomal RNA is filed under the name uncultured bacterium. RNAcentral describes it as "partial 16S ribosomal RNA". It matches the Rfam family "Bacterial small subunit ribosomal RNA", at positions 28 to 507 of the family's 1533-position model. The record is from RNAcentral.
GAUGAACGCUGGCGGCGUGCUUAACACAUGCAAGUCGAACGGGAAACCUUUUAUUGAAGCUUCGGAGAUUUAGCUGGUUUCUAGUGGCGGACGGGUGAGUAACGCGUGGGUAACCUGCCUUAUACAGGGGGAUAACAACCAGAAAUGGUUGCUAAUACCGCAUAAGCGCACAGGACCGCAUGGUCCGGUGUGAAAAACUCCGGUGGUAUAAGAUGGACCCGCGUUGGAUUAGCUAGUUGGCAGGGUAACGGCCUACCAAGGCGACGAUCCAUAGCCGGCCUGAGAGGGUGAACGGCCACAUUGGGACUGAGACACGGCCCAGACUCCUACGGGAGGCAGCAGUGGGGAAUAUUGCACAAUGGGGGAAACCCUGAUGCAGCGACGCCGCGUGAAGGAAGAAGUAUCUCGGUAUGUAAACUUCUAUCAGCAGGGAAGAUAGUGACGGUACCUGACGAAGAAGCCCCGGCUAACUACGUG